UCUUGGGUCAGCGGCCGCGGGGGCCCAGCUAGGAGGUGCUCAGGGCAGGGCCCGCGGGCUGGUUAGCGCGGGGCGCCGGAGACGGGGAGGGCAGGGGGAAGCGGCGCCGGCUCUGCGCUCCCAGCCGAUCCGGGAGCGCCCCGGGCGCGGGGCGCUGCGGACGCGGGGCGCGGGGCAGCGGGCACGGGGCGGCGCCGGCCCCGGGCGGCUCUCCCACUAGGGGUAGCUGUUGCCUGAACGCCGGAGCGCUCCCCUCUUGCCGCUUGCCUCUCCCAGCGCAGCCCCGGCCGCCGGGCGCACCCGUCCCGUUCGUCCCCGGACGUUGCUCUCUGCCCCGGGAACGUCGAGACUGGAGCGCCCGAACUGAGCCACCUUCGUGGACCCCGAGCGCGGCGGCCCGACUCACCGCGGAGGCGCCCGGACGCGUAAAGUGCGUACUUUCAACCGUAAAUAUGUGUUGAGGCUUUUAGGGGUGCGGGGCAACUCCCAAACUCCAUGGGGCCCUGGCCUGCCCUGCCGCCGAGUCCAAGACCUUCUGAUCCCUCGCUGCGCCCCGCACGGGAUCGGCGACUUGGGCUCAGGGGCGGAGGGCGGGGCAGUGCCUUGACCUAGGGUCCCGGAGGCCAGGAGCAAGUCCCGCUUCGCCUUGGACCGCUGUAUCCCCCAGGGCAAGGCCUGGACCAGGUUGCAGCGGUCUGUCCGCCGUCUGGAGAGCUGAGCUGCCCGGGACGCUUUCGCAGUCGCGGGGACUUAUCUGGAGCGGCAGGGCUUGAGCCAGAGUCCGAGGCUGCCGCCGCCCGCGUCCCGUGCGCCUCCCUCCCAGGGGACCAGCUGCCUAACUUCUUCUUGGGACAGAGACUGCGCUCGCUCCGGGGGCCGAAGUAGGAGCUGGCUGGGCUCUACAGGUCGCUGGCGAAUCGCUUUUGGCAGCGAAGAAACAAGUUCGGAGAAGUCAACAGCAGGACAAGGGCUUCAACGGGCGUGCAAGUAGAUGCUCGCUUUGGGCAGAUACUCUUCCCUCCGGUUUUCGCGGCUCUGGUAGGAUCCUCUGUCCCAUGAGUUCCCCACAAGACCCGUGGCUCUCACAGGUCAAGCCCUUGAGUGUGCGUGGAAGACGGGGGGGGGGGCACGUGAACGUGCCCUCUUUUCGCCUUCUUCAAUCAGUCGAUUUCUCCGCUGCUCAGGGCAGCAGGGCAUACCCCAGGAACUUCUUACCUAAGGGAAGCCAAACUUGUUUCUCCUAUUCCUCUUAGUGCCCCUAAACUGCCCCUCACCACCCUGGGUAGGGUCUUUCAGGUGGUCUAGAGAAUCCUCCGUUAGCCAAACCUAUCUGGGGGGCGGGGAGUUACCUGCCCCCUACUCCAGCAGGGCACUUCUCAGUUAGGUAAUUUUCCCCUUUUCUGGUCCCUUUUACAGGGGUGGGGGCGGGGAGAAGUGGAAAGAGAAGCCUCCUGCUUGGCAGGACUCUGGGAAGAAGUUUGGGGGUCUUCUGAGGUUGCAUUUUCCUGGGCAGAGGCCAGAAGAUGUGGGAUGGGGGGGUUCCAACUUUUGUUGGACAAUCUGUCAAGCCUUGACUCCUUGAUUUCUGGGAGGUGCCAGUGUAGGGCUUGUGUCCUGCUUUGCCUACUUAGCAGUUGGGACAGAGACAUGGGAUAGUUCCCCUAGCCCUCUUCCCACAUUUAGUUUCAGAAAAUGAAUAAGUUACUGUGGGCUGGGAGAGUUUGUGCUGCCUGGAAUCUAGUGGGGUGUGGUGUGCAUAUGUGUAUGUCCGCGUGCGUGUGUGUGCGUAUGUGUACACGUGUCUGUAUGUGCUCUGUGUGCAUUUGCCUGAGUGCCUGUGCAUGCAUGUGGAAGGCAUGUGUAUGGGCUGAUGUAAGAUUGGGCCUAGCCCAAUUGGUAGCACCUGGAUCCAUGCUGCUUCUAGCCCUGGGGACUGUCAGGAGAACAGCACUUGUUCUUAGGGCUUUCAUCUGUACUUGGGGAUCUGUUGCUGUUUCUUGGGCAGACAAACUGUAUUCCAUACUUCAGGAUUCCAGAACACUGGACAAGGUGCUCAGGUCCAUCUGGCUCCCACAGCUUUUUGUGCAGAUGAGGACAGACCCAAAGUCCAGGAUUUCUGAAGGCUUCAAAGAGGAGGUUGUCCAUCCCCUACACCUGGAGAAGAGAGUUGGAGAGCUCCAGAACUGCUCCUUCCAGGCUUGCUGAGCCAGGAUCCUCUGCAGUGACUAACCGGAACCAGUACCAAGGAGACGCCCAAUAAACCUUUGUGAAAUGAA
Long non-coding RNA from Otolemur garnettii (small-eared galago), 2276 nucleotides. RefSeq lists it as uncharacterized. The record is from RefSeq and is a predicted model, not a curated record. The transcript has 3 exons. NCBI's taxonomy places the organism in Eukaryota, Metazoa, Chordata, Mammalia, Primates, Galagidae.